Dreissena polymorpha is the source of this 73-nucleotide non-coding RNA. The record is from the annotation of a RefSeq genome assembly. NCBI's taxonomy places the organism in Eukaryota, Metazoa, Mollusca, Bivalvia, Myida, Dreissenidae.
GGAUCCGUAGUGUAGUGGUUAUCACGCUCGCUUCACGCGCGAGAGGGCCUGGGUUCAAGACCGAGCGGAACCA